GAUGAACGCUGGCGGCGUGCCUAAUACAUGCAAGUCGAGCGAACAGACGAGGGGAUUGCUCCUCUGACGUUGGCGGCGGGCGGGUGAGGAAUACGUGGGUAACCUAUCUUUAAGACUGGGGUAACUUCGGGAAACCGGAGACAGUACCGGAUCAUAUGUUGAAACGGAUGGUUCAAUAGUGCAAGGUGGUUUUGAUGUGACGUAUGCAUAGAUCCGCGCCGCAUUAGCUAGUUGGUAGCGUAAAGGCUUACCAAGGCGACGAUGCGUGGCCGACCUGAGAGGGUGACCAGCCACACUGGAACUGAGACACGGUCCAGACUCCUACGGGAGGCAGCAGUAGGGAAUUUUCCGCAAUGGGCGAAAGCCUGACGGAGCAACGCCGCGUGAGUGAUGAAGGUCUUCGGAUCGUAAAACUCUGUUAUUAGGAAAGAACAAAUGUGUAAUAAACUAUGCACGUCUUGACGGUACCUUAACAGAAAGCCACGGCUAACUACGUG
RNAcentral lists this ribosomal RNA (497 nucleotides) under uncultured bacterium. RNAcentral describes it as "partial 16S ribosomal RNA". It matches the Rfam family "Bacterial small subunit ribosomal RNA", at positions 28 to 507 of the family's 1533-position model. The record is from RNAcentral.